AACGAACGCUGGCGGCGUGCCUAAUACAUGCAAGUCGUGCGUGAAAGUGGGAGCAAUCCCGCGAGUAAAGCGGCAAACGGGUGAGUAACACGUAAGCAAUCUGCCUCUAAAUUUGGGAUAACCCUGCUAACGCGGGGCUAAUACCGGAUGUGAACCAUUGGUCGCAUGAUUGAUGGUUUAAAGAUGACCUCUACUUGUAAGUUAUCGUUUAGAGAUGAGCUUGCGUCCCAUUAGCUUGUUGGCAGGGUAAUGGCCUACCAAGGCUGUGAUGGGUAGCCGGCCUGAGAGGGUGUACGGCCACAUUGGGACUGAGAAACGGCCCAGACUCCUACGGGAGGCAGCAGUAGGGAAUUUUGCGCAAUGGACGAAAGUCUGACGCAGCAACGCCGCGUGAGUGAUGAAGGCCUUCGGGUUGUAAAGCUCUGUUGAGUGGGGAGAAAAGCUUCAGGAAUAAUACUCUUGAGGCCUGACGGUACCAUUCGAGGAAGCCCCGGCUAACUACGUGCCAGCAGCCGCGGUAAUACGUAGGGGGCAAGCGUUGUUCGGAAUUACUGGGCGUAAAGGGAGCGUAGGUGGGGUCGUAAGUUAGGAGUUUAAUACAUGGGCUUAACCCGUGGCUUGCUCUUAAGACUGCGAUUCUUGAGUAUGGGAGAGGGCGAUGGAAUUCCAGGUGUAGCGGUGGAAUGCGUAGAUAUCUGGAAGAACACCAGUAGCGAAGGCGGUCGCCUGGCCCAAUACUGACACUGAGGCUCGAAAGCUAGGGGAGCAAACAGGAUUAGAUACCCUGGUAGUCCUAGCUAUAAACGAUGGACACUAGAUGCUGGAGGAGUCAAUCUUUUCAGUGUCGUAGCUAACGCAUUAAGUGUCCCGCCUGGGAAGUACGCUCGCAAGAGUGAAACUCAAAGGAAUUGACGGGGGCCCGCACAAGCGGUGGAGCAUGUGCUUUAAUUCGAUGCAACGCGAAGAACCUUACCUGGGCUUGACAUGGGAGUGAAAGUUUCCAGAGAUGGAAGCCUUUCCGCAAGGAACACUCUACACAGGUGCUGCAUGGUUGUCGUCAGCUCGUGUCGUGAGAUGUUGGGUUAAGUCCCGCAACGAGCGCAACCCUCGCCCCUAGUUGCCAUCAGGUUAUGCUGGGAACUCUAGGGGGACUGCCUAGUUUAACUAGGAGGAAGGUGGGGAUGACGUCAAAUCCUCAUGGCCCUUACGUCCAGGGCUAGACACGUGCUACAAUGGCCGGUACAACGGGCUGCAAGUCGGCGACGACAAGCUAAUCCCUUAAAACCGGUCUCAGUUCGGAUUGGAGUCUGCAAUUCGACUCCAUGAAGCUGGAAUCGCUAGUAAUCGUGGAUCAGCAUGCCACGGUGAAUACGUUCCCGGGCCUUGUACACACCGCCCGUCAAGCCAUGAAAGAUGGCAGUGCCCGAAGUCGCUUCCCUAACCGCAAGGAUGGGUGCGCCGAAGGUAAGGCCAUUGAUUGGGGCU
RNAcentral lists this ribosomal RNA (1485 nucleotides) under uncultured bacterium. RNAcentral describes it as "bacterial SSU rRNA". It matches the Rfam family "Bacterial small subunit ribosomal RNA". The record is from RNAcentral.